UAAGGAAUAUUGGUCAAUGGACGCAAGUCUGAACCAGCCAUGCCGCGUGAAGGAUGAAGGUCCUCUGGAUUGUAAACUUCUUUUAUCUGGGACGAAAACGGGAUUUUUAUCUCAAUUGACGGUACCAGAAGAAUAAGCACCGGCUAACUACGUGCCAGCAGCCGCGGUAAUACGUAGGGGGCAAGCGUUGUCCGGAUUUACUGGGUGUAAAGGGCGCGCAGGCGGGAUAAAAAGUCAGUGGUGAAAUCCUACAGCUUAACUGUAGAACUGCCUUUGAUACUUUUAUUCUUGAGUUCGGGAGAGAGAGACGGAAUUCCAGGUGUAGUGGUGAAAUACGUAGAUAUCUGGAAGAACACCAGUUGCGAAGGCGGUCUCUUGGUCCGACACUGACGCUGAGGCGCGAAAGCGUGGGGAGCAAACA
This 421-nucleotide ribosomal RNA is filed under the name uncultured bacterium. RNAcentral's name for it is "bacterial SSU rRNA". It matches the Rfam family "Bacterial small subunit ribosomal RNA", at positions 355 to 774 of the family's 1533-position model. The record is from RNAcentral.